UUUACCCGUGAACAAACUCAUUAGUAUUGCCAAGGUCGAAUGAUUACUUGGGGUAAUUCUUGAAUAAGCGACUUUUCUUAUUCAGUUCACCUUUCAUUCCAACCUUGUAUCAUUCCAACCUUGUACAGCUUGUCUUCCCCCCAAUUCCAUUGUCAACUGAUUACCCUAAAACCCCAUAAGCUAUUUACAGUAAAAGAAAAGAAAACCCCAGAAGUUGGGUUUAAGCUUGAAGUAGAAAUCUUGAAGAACCCCAUUUCCGGUGAGUUUCCAUCUUUUAAUUUUCUAUUUAUGGUAAUUGAGCUUCUUGUACGUGCUUUCCUUUCAGUUUUGGUGGUAAUUUCUGCUUCAGUUAGAUGACGUAAAAUUUUAAGGUAAAUUUGUUUUGACUUUGUUAUAUUUUAGUAAAUAAAAAAUAAAAAUACGAGGGCAAAAGUGUCCAUCAAAUGUUUUCCACACAUCCACACGUUUCAUAUACAAUAGAUGUAGAUGUAGAUUUUUAUUCAGCUCAUAUUUGAAUUAUCGAAAUUAAUUUCAAAAUAUUGUAAGAAUAAUAAAAUAAAUAAUUUAAAAUCAAUGUUGAACAAACCUUAAAAUAUAGACACAACCCAUUUUUUAGCCCCUGUUUGAUUUUCAUUCUUUGGCCAUGAAAAUGAAAAAUAUGAUCGUUAUUCAUUACAUCAAGUCAUCAUAUUUGACUUUCUACUUUUGAGUGAGUUCCGUAAUGACUAUAUUUUUCAUUCUCAUUCUUAUAAAAAUAGGUGUCAAACGGAGGUUUAAGAUGAAAACAAAAAUAACUUGGUUAAGUGCCCUCCGGGACACAGCUCAACUGGUUGAUCAAUCAACAUUUGUCUUGCUUCUAGCGAUGGGGUGGAGGUUCGAAUCUUGGUGGGAACCUGCGGUCAGAUUUAUUUGAUAUGGAGCAAACACUUUUGAGAAGGAUCUCUUGUGCGCAGAAGUGUACAGGUGGUGGGGGAACCUGUGAUCCAGUUGAGACAUAAUUUGCGAUUUACCCCCUUCAAGUAUCUAGGGACAAGGAUCUUGGGGGUCCAAGAUCUAGUUUAGUGUAAGUUGGAAUAUCUGGAUAUCAAAAAAAAAAAAAAAUUGUUUUAGUUAUCCUAUGUCUUAGUCUACCCACAGAUGCCAACAAAUUAUGUAUACGAUCUAUCUUGUCUUCAACUUUACCCGUGAACAAACUCAUUAGUAUUGCCAAGGUCGAAUGAUUACUUGGGGUAAUUCUUGAAUAAGCGACUUUUCUUAUUCAGUUCACCUUUCAUUCCAACCUUGUAUCAUUCCAACCUUGUACAGCUUGUCUUCCCCCCAAUUCCAUUGUCAACUGAUUACCCUAAAACCCCAUAAGCUAUUUACAGUAAAAGAAAAGAAAACCCCAGAAGU
Molecule: long non-coding RNA, 1392 nt
Filed under: Olea europaea (common olive)
Lineage: Eukaryota; Viridiplantae; Streptophyta; Magnoliopsida; Lamiales; Oleaceae
Description: long non-coding RNA (OEUR_LNC002474)
Source: RNAcentral